Molecule: ribosomal RNA, 583 nt
Filed under: Sardinella aurita (round sardinella)
Lineage: Eukaryota; Metazoa; Chordata; Actinopteri; Clupeiformes; Clupeidae
Description: partial 16S ribosomal RNA
Rfam family: Bacterial large subunit ribosomal RNA
Source: RNAcentral
CAUCGCCUCCUGCCCACUCAGCAUAGGAGGUCCCGCCUGCCCUGUGACCAAAAGUUUAACGGCCGCGGUAUUUUAACCGUGCAAAGGUAGCGCAAUCAAUUGUCUUUUAAAUGAAGACCUGUAUGAAUGGCAUAACGAGGGUUUAACUGUCUCUUUUUUCAGGUCAAUGAAACUGAUCUGUCCGUGCAGAAGCGGACAUAUUAACACAAGACGAGAAGACCCUAUGGAGCUUUAGACGCCCACCAACCACGAAAAGCAGCCUACCUAAACAGAUGCUCUAAACAACGCGGUCCUGGUACAAACGUCUUCGGUUGGGGCGACCGCGGAGGAGAACAAAGCCUCCGAGAGGAAUGGGAACAAACCCUAAAACCAAGAGCCACAGCUCUAAGUCACAAAAAAUUUGACCGACAAUGAUCCGGCUUACUGCCGAUCAACGGACCAAGUUACCCUAGGGAUAACAGCGCAAUCCCCUCCCAGAGUCCAUAUCGACGAGGGGGUUUACGACCUCGAUGUUGGAUCAGGACAUCCUAAUGGUGCAGCCGCUAUUAAGGGUUCGUUUGUUCAACGAUUAAAGUCCUACGUG